This 129-nucleotide ribosomal RNA is filed under the name Ailuropoda melanoleuca (giant panda). RNAcentral describes it as "similar to 28S ribosomal RNA". Lineage: Eukaryota; Metazoa; Chordata; Mammalia; Carnivora; Ursidae. The record is from RNAcentral.
GCACCUUCUUGGGGAACCUGGUGCUAAACCAUUCUUAGACGACCUGCUUCUGGGUGGGGUUUUCAUUCAUAGCAGAGCAGCUCCUUUGUUGUGAUCUGUUGAAGGUCAGCACUCGACACAAGGGUUUGU